Molecule: long non-coding RNA, 2657 nt
Organism: Malaclemys terrapin pileata
Lineage: Eukaryota; Metazoa; Chordata; Testudines; Emydidae
Exons: 4
Source: RefSeq, a predicted model, not a curated record
AUCGGGUCUCGGCAGCUCCUCCUCCCCUGCAGCCCAGCGCCCCGCUCCGGCAGCACUGUGCAGGGGCAGGGACCGGGUUGUGUGUUGCACUGGGGAGAGCAGCCACAUGUCUGGCUCCGCACAGAGCCCAACACCAUGUUCUGAGCGGCGGGCAAAGGCUGAUAACACAGCAUGUAGGAGCAGAACUCAUCUGGAAAAACAACACCUGAAUUUAAGAUACAAACAGAGCAGCUAACGCCCAGUGCCGCAAGAGGAGUGUAAAUCCUUCACUAAACCUGGAGUGGAUCCAGUGUAUGGCAGUAAAAGAUUCAAACAUUAUCCAAAACCUGGAACAGGUUUAGUGGUAGUCUGGAUUGGAUUGCAUUACAUCAGGCUCUUAUUCAUGGAUUUGGAAUAGGGUUCAUUCACUUUCCUGAUGCAAGUAGGGUGACCAGACAGCAAGUGUGAAAAAUCGGGACGGGGGGUGGGGGGUAAUAGGAACCUAUAUAAGAAAAAGCCCCAAGUAUAGGGACUGUCCCUAUAAAAUCAGGACAUCUGGUCACCCUAGAUGCAAGCAGCGGACUUUCCGUUUUUGUGUAGAACUCCAAUGACAAUCCUGGCCUCUAGCAGGAUGAUGCAGAUCUCUUGGCUUGUAGUAGCUGCAAGAGGACCUUCCCUAAAUGCCCACAGCCCUGCAUGAGAGUCAAAUCAGCUGGCCUGGCAGAGAGACAGCAGGAGCAAAUGAGUGAUGCUUGUGCCACCUGAAAGUGAGAACAGGCGUUUGCAUGGCACUUUUGCAGCCAGCAUUGCAAGAAGUCUCGGAUGAUGACCCAGCACAUGUUGUUCAUUUUAAGAACACUUUCACUGCAGAUCUGACAAAAUGCAAAGAAGGUACCAAUGUGAGAUUUCUAAAGAGAGCUACAGCAUUCAACCCAAGGAUUAAGAAUCUGAAGUGCCUUCCAAUCUGAGAGGGAUGACGUGUGGAGCAUGCUUUCAGAAGUCUUGAAAGAGCAACAUUCAGAUGCGGAAACUACAGAACCUGAACCACCAAAAAAGAAAAUCAACCUUCUGCUGGUGGCAUCUGAUUCACAUGAUGAAAAUGAACAUGCAUCGGUCCGCACUUCUUUGGAUUGUUAUUGAGCAGAAACUGUCAUCAGCAUGGACGCAUGUCCUCUGGAAUGGUGGUUGAAGCAUGAAGGGACAUAUGAAUCUUUAGCACAUUUGGCACAGAAAUAUCUUGCGACGCCAGCUACAACAGUGCCAUGAGAAUGCCUGUUCUCACUUUCAGGUGACACUGUAAACAAGAAGUGGGCAGCAUUAUCUCCUGCAAAUGUAAACAAACUUGUUUGUCUAAGUAACUGUCUGAACAAGAAGUAGGAGUGAAUGGACUUGUAGGCUCUAAAGGCAAUUUAGUCCAGUGCCCAAUUAUCCUGACAGUUAGGAAGUUUUUCUCCUGUCCAACCUAAUCCUUCUUUGCUGCACUUUAAGCCCAUUGCUUCUUGUCCUGUCCUCAGAGGUUAACAGGAACAAUUUCCUCCCUCCUCUUUGUAACAACCUUUUAUUUACUUGAAAGCUGUUAUCAUGUCCCCACUCAGUCUUCUCUUCUCCAGACUAAACAAACCCAAUUUUUUCACGGAGGAAUACACAUAGCCCAGAAGAGCAACAUAUGUUCUAUUUCUGCAGUGAAAGUGUUAAUUGUGUGUAACGCUGAUCGUGGAUUGGCAUCCUCAUGUACUGAUCUCAGGUAACUGGUACUUUAUGACAACUUCUUGCAUCUUACAUGUCUUGAAAGAUUCAUCUCAGUCAGUGCACAUCACAGACAGCAUCUGUAAUCUGAUAGAAUGAUGUAUCUGGUGAUACCAAAACUGUGAAGCUGUUAACUAUAGUGCACAGUGGUUUUGCUUCAGCGGUUUUGCUUAUAGCAAUCUGACCAUUUUCUGACCAUCAAAAGGCAUGGCAAUCUGUCUUGGAGAACUGUGACUGACAAUGAUAAUCUAAUGCUGAUUUUAUGCCAGUUUGGAUGGUGCCAUUCAUUUAAGAUGUGCAUCAGUUCACAUUAACUUCCAGAAUGAUGCUUGCUUUUGAGCUGCUGGAGGCAUCUUCCAAAAGACCUUUUUAACCUGGAGUAAUAACGGAAACAGAUUCUUACAUGAUCCUUAAAGGGCUAGCCCCAGUUAUGGAAGCAUCAUCCUGAGACAUAUGCAGCUUGCUUGAUAUUUACGAAACUCUUCAUCACAAGGAAUUCGCUGAAAAAGCAGUGGCCCCGAGAUGGUGCCUGAAACAAGAAAGUCUUUGGUCUAUUUUUGAAAUCUAAAUACGGUGGGUGUGUUUUAUUUACUCUGCAUUAUCAGAGGAAAUCCGGGUUCGAAGCCCAGGAAAAUAACCUCAUUGAAGUGCAGCAGAGGCACAAACAAAGAGUUCCCAGGAGAUCGAAUCAACGUCACAACAAAUGCUCUCAGAACUAGAGAGAAAUUAGUUUAAACUGAUUAGAGCCCUUCUGGCCAGCCUGCUACCAGGGCCGGCUCCAGGCACCAGCUGACCAAGCACAUGCUUGGGGCGGCACCUUAGAAGGGGCAGCCAAUGUUGGGGCGGCGGGGGGCGCUCGCGGUGUUUUUGUUUGUUGUUUUUUUGUUCGGUGGGGUGGUGCUUGAGGGUUGUUUUUUUUCUUUUGCUUUUGU